RNAcentral lists this ribosomal RNA (478 nucleotides) under uncultured Planctomycetales bacterium. RNAcentral describes it as "bacterial SSU rRNA". It matches the Rfam family "Bacterial small subunit ribosomal RNA", at positions 364 to 832 of the family's 1533-position model. Lineage: Bacteria; Pseudomonadati; Planctomycetota; Planctomycetia; Planctomycetales. The record is from RNAcentral.
UUUCGCAAUGCCCGAAAGGGUGACGAAGCGACGCCGCGUGUGGGAAGAAGGCCUUCGGGUUGUAAACCACUGUCGGGAGUUAGGAAAUGCAGGUGCGUUAAUAGCGCACUUGCUUGACUAAGGCUCCAGAGGUAGCCACGGCUAACUCUGUGCCAGCAGCCGCGGUAAUACAGAGGCGGCAAGCGUUGUUCGGAAUUAUUGGGCGUAAAGAGCACGUAGGCGGCCUUGCAAGUCAGUUGUGAAAGCCUUCCGCUUAACGGAAGAACGGCAUCUGAUACUACAGGGCUUGAGUACGGGAGGGGGGAGUGGAACUUCUGGUGGAGCGGUGAAAUGCGUAGAUAUCAGAAGGAACGCCGGCGGCGAAAGCGACUCUCUGGUCCGAAACUGACGCUGAGUGUGCGAAAGCUAGGGGAGCAAACGGGAUUAGAUACCCCGGUAGUCCUAGCCGUAAACGAUGGGCACUAAGUAGAGGGGUUUU